CCUACGGGGGGCUGCAGUGGGGAAUAUUGGACAAUGGGCGAAAGCCUGAUCCAGCCAUGCCGCGUGUGUGAAGAAGGCCUUCGGGUUGUAAAGCACUUUCAGUGGGGAAGAAAGCCUUGGGGCUAAUACCCUCGAGGAAGGACAUCACCCACAGAAGAAGCACCGGCUAACUCCGUGCCAGCAGCCGCGGUAAUACGGAGGGUGCGAGCGUUAAUCGGAAUUACUGGGCGUAAAGCGCGCGUAGGCGGUCUGAUAAGCCGGUUGUGAAAGCCCCGGGCUCAACCUGGGAACGGCAUCCGGAACUGUCAGGCUAGAGUGCAAGAGAGGAAGGUAGAAUUCCCGGUGUAGCGGUGAAAUGCGUAGAGAUCGGGAGGAAUACCAGUGGCGAAGGCGGCCUUCUGGACUGACACUGACGCUGAGGUGCGAAAGCGUGGGUAGCAAACAGGAUUAGAUACCCCAGUAGUC
RNAcentral lists this ribosomal RNA (465 nucleotides) under Vreelandella stevensii. RNAcentral describes it as "partial 16S ribosomal RNA". It matches the Rfam family "Bacterial small subunit ribosomal RNA", at positions 338 to 795 of the family's 1533-position model. The record is from RNAcentral. Lineage: Bacteria; Pseudomonadati; Pseudomonadota; Gammaproteobacteria; Oceanospirillales; Halomonadaceae.